This 598-nucleotide ribosomal RNA is filed under the name bacterium SL5.12. RNAcentral's name for it is "bacterial SSU rRNA". It matches the Rfam family "Bacterial small subunit ribosomal RNA", at positions 57 to 636 of the family's 1533-position model. The record is from RNAcentral.
GCAGUCGAGCGGACUGAUUAAGAGCUUGCUCUUAUGACGUUAGCGGCGGACGGGUGAGUAACACGUGGGCAACCUGCCCUGUAGAUCGGGAUAACACCGAGAAAUCGGUGCUAAUACCGGGUAAUUUCGAAGGUCGCAUGACCUUCGAUUAAAAGAUGGCUUCGGCUAUCACUACAGGAUGGGCCCGCGGCGCAUUAGCUAGUUGGUAAGGUAACGGCUUACCAAGGCGACGAUGCGUAGCCGACCUGAGAGGGUGAUCGGCCACACUGGGACUGAGACACGGCCCAGACUCCUACGGGAGGCAGCAGUAGGGAAUCUUCCGCAAUGGACGAAAGUCUGACGGAGCAACGCCGCGUGAGUGAUGAAGGGUUUCGGCUCGUAAAGCUCUGUUGUUAGGGAAGAACAAGUAUCGUUCAAAUAGGGCGGUACCUUGACGGUACCUAACCAGAAAGCCACGGCUAACUACGUGCCAGCAGCCGCGGUAAUACGUAGGUGGCAAGCGUUGUCCGGAAUUAUUGGGCGUAAAGCGCGCGCAGGCGGUCUUUUAAGUCUGAUGUGAAAGCCCCCGGCUCAACCGGGGAGGGUCAUUGGAAACUGG